CUUUGCCUAGGAGACUGCUCAAUGUCUCGGGGGGGGGGGGGGCAAAGAUUUUAAUUUACAAUUAUUGCAUCUAAUCUGUCCUGCAAGAGAAUUAUUAUUCAUUGCAACCAACACAGGCUUCUGAUUGGUCGAUUCAAAAAGGGGCAUGGCUUCGCGGGAAAAGCCGCGAAAGCCGGCUAUAAAAGGACAAGCCGGCGAACGCUCUUCAUUCUUCAUCGGCAGCCGACGCGAGAGGAUCGUUUGGAAAAUCCCACCCACCCACCCUGUUAUUGUAUAACAUAUAUGAAUGCAUAAUAAAUAAAAAAAAAUAUAUAUAUAUUGUCGCAGCGGUUAAUUGUUGUUUAUAGAGAAGUGUCAUAUGGAGGUAUGCUCCUGGCUAGGUGGUAAAUUGGCGGGGCUUAAGGAUAUUUGUUGUUAAUCUUUAAGGCGGUCCGCUGCAGAGAUCUGAUGCAGAGGCUGGCUGGGAAUAUAUGUAUGAGCAGGUAUUAGUAUCAUUAGCAAUGGUUAA
This is a long non-coding RNA of Xenopus laevis (African clawed frog), 508 nucleotides long. RefSeq lists it as uncharacterized. The record is from RefSeq and is a predicted model, not a curated record. NCBI's taxonomy places the organism in Eukaryota, Metazoa, Chordata, Amphibia, Anura, Pipidae. The transcript has 2 exons.